Molecule: long non-coding RNA, 251 nt
Filed under: Elaeis guineensis (African oil palm)
Lineage: Eukaryota; Viridiplantae; Streptophyta; Magnoliopsida; Arecales; Arecaceae
Description: long non-coding RNA (EGUI_LNC004593)
Source: RNAcentral
CCCCCUGGAUGUGCCCUCACGUUAUGAAUUCUCGAACAAUUUGGUUGUCUAGACAUGCAACAAAAAAAUUUCUUUCUGAUAACUGCCUAGUGGUCCAUGAUCCACAUCUUUGUGCCUUUCGGGCUAAGAUGGAGGAAACGUCAUCCUCCUUUAUUGGUCUUCCGAAAGUUUCAACGUAGGCUGCACGAUCAAGAUAGAAUAAAAUGCAGUUCAUCACACUAGUGAAUGGAAGAAAUAUCUUAGUGACAUGC